This 488-nucleotide ribosomal RNA is filed under the name uncultured bacterium. RNAcentral's name for it is "bacterial SSU rRNA". It matches the Rfam family "Bacterial small subunit ribosomal RNA", at positions 29 to 514 of the family's 1533-position model. The record is from RNAcentral.
AAUAAACGCUGGCGGCGUGCCUAACACAUGCAAGUCGAGCGAGAAAGCUCCUUCGGGAGUUAGUAAAGCGGCGAACGGGUGAGCAACACGUGAGAAUCUACCCUUUAGUGAAGAAUACCCUCGAGAAAUCGAGGCUAAUACUGCAUACGUCCCUUCGGGGAGAAAGAUGGCCUCUUUGCUAUCGCUAAAGGAUGAGCUUGCGUACUAUUAGCUAGUUGGCGGGGUAAAGGCCCACCAAGGCAAUGAUGGUUAACCGGCCUGAGAGGGUGUACGGUCACACUGGAACUUAGACACGGUCCAGACUCCUACGGGAGGCAGCAGUGAGGAAUCUUGCGCAAUGGGCGAAAGCCUGACGCAGCGACGCCGCGUGGAGGAUGACGGUUUUCGGAUUGUAAACUCCUGUUAAGCGGGAAGAAAGCCUUGUUUCUAAUACAAGCAAGGUAUGACGGUACCGCUAGAGAAAGCACCGGCUAACUUCGUGCCAGCAG